RNAcentral lists this ribosomal RNA (1408 nucleotides) under Cochylidia moguntiana. Its description in RNAcentral is "16S ribosomal RNA". The record is from RNAcentral. Lineage: Eukaryota; Metazoa; Arthropoda; Insecta; Lepidoptera; Tortricidae.
AUUGGGGGUAAAAUUAGUAUAAAUUUUAAAUAAUAAAAAUAAUUUUAAUAAAUAUGAAUAUUUAAAUGGGGGGUUUAAGUAUUUUUUAAAGAAAAAAUUUUUUGAUUUAUAGUAGAUUAGUAUUGUGAAAGAAAUUUGAAAUAUAUGAAAAUAAAUUUUUUUGAAAGUAAAUUUUAAUUAUUGUAUCUUGUGUAUCAGAGUUUAUUAAUAAAAUAUUUUAAUUAAAAUUUUCUCGAAUUUAAAAGAGUUAAUUAAUUAAUAAAUUUAUUGUAGCAAAAAUAUUUUUAAUAAUUAAUUUGAAAUGAAAUGUUAAUCGUUUUUAAAUAUAUCUAGUUUUUUUAGAAAAAAAUUUAAUUUUAAGUUAAUUUAAGAAAAAAUUUAAUUAAAUAAAUUUUUAAAAAUUAAUUUUAAUAUGUUAAGGGAUAAGCUUUAAUUUAGAAAAUUUAUAAGAUUUUUUUUUAUUAAUGAAAUUUUUAAAAUUUAUAUUGUUUAAAAAUUUUAAUUUUUUAUAAAUAAUUUCAUUAAGAAUUAAAAUUUAAUUUAACUUUAAUUUUUUAUAAAAAAUUAAAAUUUAUUAAUUUAAUUUUAAUUAUAAUGAUAAAAUUAGUAUAAAUUUAAUUAAUUAAUUUAUAUUAUAUAAUUUGUUAAUUAAUUAUAAGGAAUUCGGCAAAAAUUUAUAUUCACUUGUUUAUCAAAAACAUGUCUUUUUGAAUUAUAAUUAAAAGUCUAAUCUGCCCACUGAUAUAAAAUUAAAGGGCUGCAGUAUUUUGACUGUACAAAGGUAGCAUAAUCAUUAGUCUCUUAAUUGGUGACUUGUAUGAAUGAUUGGAUGAGAUAUAAACUGUCUUAUUUUUAUACAUAUAGAAUUUAAUUUUUUAAUUAAAAAGUUAAAAUAAAUUUAAAAGACGAGAAGACCCUAUAGAGUUUAAUAUAAUAAAUUAAUUGAUAAUUUUUAUAUAAAAUUUAAAUUUAAAUUAAUUUUUAUAUUUUGUUGGGGUGACAGAAAAAUAAAAUUAACUUUUUUUAUUAUAGAUAUAUAUAUAUAUAUAUAUAUAUAUAUAUAUAUAUAUAUAUAAUUUACAUUUAUAGAUGAAUAAUUGAUCCAUAAUUUUUGAUUAAAAGAUUAAAUUACCUUAGGGAUAACAGCGUAAUUUUAUUUUUUAGUUCAUAUAAAAAGUAAAGUUUGCGACCUCGAUGUUGGAUUAAGAUAAAAUUUAAAUGCAAAAGUUUAAAAUUUUGAUCUGUUCGAUCAUUAAAAUCUUACAUGAUCUGAGUUCAAACCGGUGUAAGCCAGGUUGGUUUCUAUCUUUAAAAAUAUAAAAUAUUUUAGUACGAAAGGAUCAAAUAUUUAAAAUAAUUUUAAUAUAAUGAAUAUUAAUAAUUAAAUUUAUAUUUAAAAAUGAAUUUA